This 113-nucleotide small nuclear RNA is filed under the name Suricata suricatta (meerkat). RNAcentral describes it as "U2 spliceosomal RNA (ENSSSUG00005009667.1)". It matches the Rfam family "U2 spliceosomal RNA". Rfam says of the family: U2 is a small nuclear RNA (snRNA) component of the spliceosome (involved in pre-mRNA splicing). Complementary binding between U2 snRNA (in an area lying towards the 5' end but 3' to hairpin I) and the branchpoint sequence (BPS) of the intron results the bulging out of an unpaired adenosine, on the BPS, which initiates a nucleophilic attack at the intronic 5' splice site, thus starting the first of two transesterification reactions that mediate splicing. The record is from Rfam by way of RNAcentral. Lineage: Eukaryota; Metazoa; Chordata; Mammalia; Carnivora; Herpestidae.
AUCGCUUCUCGGCCUUUUGGCUAAGAUCAAGUGUAGUAUCUGUUCUUAUCAGUUUAAAAACACCAUUGCCUAAGGGUGCCUGGGUGGCUCAGUUGGUUAAGUGUCCAGCUUCA